Molecule: ribosomal RNA, 253 nt
Filed under: uncultured bacterium
Lineage: Bacteria
Description: partial 16S ribosomal RNA
Rfam family: Bacterial small subunit ribosomal RNA
Source: RNAcentral
UACGAGGGGGGCAAGCGUUGUUCGGAAUUACUGGGCGUAAAGCGUGCGUAGGUGGUUUGUUAAGUCUGUUGUGAAAGCCCCGGGCUCAACCUGGGAAUGGCAAUGGAUACUGGCAAGCUAGAGUGCGGUAGGGGGUAGUGGAAUUCCCGGUGUAGCGGUGAAAUGCGUAGAGAUCGGGAGGAACACCAGUGGCGAAGGCGGCUACCUGGACCAGCACUGACACUGAGGCACGAAAGCGUGGGGAGCAAACAGG